RNAcentral lists this non-coding RNA (163 nucleotides) under Burkholderia pseudomallei. RNAcentral describes it as "Burkholderia sRNA 35". It matches the Rfam family "Burkholderia sRNA 35". Rfam says of the family: Identified by RNA-seq, RACE and Northern blot. Strongly expressed in biofilm. Lineage: Bacteria; Pseudomonadati; Pseudomonadota; Betaproteobacteria; Burkholderiales; Burkholderiaceae. RNAcentral also lists the same sequence under 1 other name. The record is from RNAcentral.
AUAGUCUCAUCGAAACCAGUACUCUGCUUCCGACGCACGAUACCUCUAUGGCACGCAGGGAGCGAGUCCGGACGCCUCACCCCCGUCGAGGCGGCCGGAGCAGUUCAAGCGGACAUCCAUGCGGCUUUCAGCCGGCCCCGAGUGGAUGUCCGCCGAUUUUUUU